This 42821-nucleotide long non-coding RNA is filed under the name Fragaria vesca (wild strawberry). Lineage: Eukaryota; Viridiplantae; Streptophyta; Magnoliopsida; Rosales; Rosaceae. The record is from RNAcentral.
GGAAGAACGGCAUACUGUUUUCUCAAGUCCUGGGGUGCUGUUUUUCGAGGGUGUCGUGAAGAUGUCAUACAUCCUAGUCUCUCUGAAGCAGCAUUGCUUUUCCCACCGAGAGAUGACUUGCCUGAAAAGUAUGCCGGUCAGAUGGAAGGGUUAUGGUUUGCCGGAAAGAAUGUUGCUACAAGGAGAUUUGUAUUUGGUGCGAAAGUCAUAUCUUCAAUUCAAGAUGAAGCGAAGAGCGAGUCCGUGCCCAAGCCAUCACGAGUUCAGGCCGUCACUGGUUUUCUCUGGAAACAUCUAAUCGCUGCUUCUCGGGCACUAACAUCAGGUAAAAUCAGUUUAUCAACAAGCCAAAUAAUAAAGCCUAAUGUAUUUGGGGUACUUAUUUAUAUAUUUUUAUUACGUAUAUCUAGUGUACUGUGUACAUAGCUCAAAGAAUGAGAAAAUAUAUGAACUUGCAGGUACUACUUCAACAAAACUUUCUAUAGCAGCCCAGGCAGUGAACAUAAGAUCACGGAUGAACAUGGAGACGGUGUUGGAUAAUGCCACUGGAAACUUGAUGUGGUGGGCACCGGCCAUACUACAGCCAAGUCAUACAACACCAGAGAUUAGUGAUCUUAAGCUGUGUGACUUGGUUAACUUGCUCAAUGGAUCUGUCAAACAAUGUAACGGUGAUUACUUUGAGACUUUCAAGGGUAAAGAGGGAUAUGGAAGAAUGUGUGAGUAUCUAGAUUUUCAGAGGACUAUGAGUUCUAUGGAACCAGCACCAGAGAUUUAUUUAUUCUCGAGCUGGACUAAUUUUUUCAAUGCACUUGAUUUUGGAUGGGGGAGGACAUCAUGGAUUGGAGUUACGGGAAAAAUUGAAUCUGCAUUUUGCAAUUCCACAAUGUUGGUUCCAACACAAUGCGAUAAUGGAAUUGAAGCAUGGGUGAAUCUAGAAGAAGAGAAAAUGGCUAUGCUAGAACAAGAUCCCCAGUUUCUAGCGGUAGCAUCUCCAAACCCCCCAAUUUCAAGGUGUUGAUUAAAAAAGAUUAUGUGGCUCGUGCAAUGUUUCGAUUUUGUAGUGAAUAAGGUUUAAAUUAGUUCACCAGCCAAUCAAUAAGAUGCAAGUAUGAUAGACUCUGUCUACGUAUGUUAUCCGAAUGUGUUUUCGAUAUGCUUGUAACCAAUAUAGCUCUUGUUUGUAAUAAUGCUCUGUUAAGCUUCUAUCUAUAAAGUUAUUUCUCUUGAUUAAAGAAAAAACUAUACAAGUUUUGUUAAGCUUUAUUCUAUUUUUAAGAUAGGAUGUAUGUAGUACCUAUAAAGAUGGUUCACCUAUUAUUAUUUUCAAAUACAUGAUUAUCCGGUACAAUUACGUAGAAUAUUUCUAUAGCUAAAAAAAUGUAAUUUUGAUCCGUGACAACAUGAUUAAAAAAUUACAUAUUCUGAUACAUUUGUUCUCUAACGACAAGCAUGGCCAUAAUGCCUCACCUGAUCAUCUAUGUGAUGGGGUAGUGUCCUUUCUUUUUAAGAGAAGGUAGGCACCUAAUGUGAAGGCCUCUACGAGAGACUAAUAUUGUCUGAUCUUCUUUUGUUCAUCAAAUUAAAGAAACGAAAAUGGCCACAAUGCCUCACUAUUGAUAGAAGAUAGAACCAUACAAUAAUUUGGAACAUAUGCAUGGAGACAAGGAAAUAUAACACAAUAAAACCAUUAUAAUUUCACUUUAUGUGGGAAACUUGGCCAAAACCGAAUCACAUCCACGUUGGCAACAAAAAGUGACUGGAAAAAAAGAGCCCCCAAAAAGCUAAAACACUAUAAAAACCAGAAAACUUGAAUAAGCGAAAAACCAAAAGUAUGACAUUUACACACACACUCUAUCUCUCUCUCAAAGUCUGAAAACUUGCGCAAUAAGGUACCUAGCUCUCUGGUCUUUUCUUUCUAAUGCAUAUAAGUCCCUGUAAAUUUUAUGGCUUUUGGAAUGAUGAUUUUAUGCUUGUGGAUCUCAGAUGGGUUUGUUUUGUUUUGGGAUUUUUAUAAAUGAAUCCAUUGAAAAUGUUGAAAGCUUAUGCCUUUGUUCCUUGGUUCACUGUUCUGGUUUUGUAAAUUGUGUGUACGAGAGUUGAAAUGUUGGUUUUGGUAAAGAGAAAUGUUCUAUAACCAUGUAAGUUAUCUUCUAAAGUUGUUCGAGUACUGCAUAGGAAAUAACGACCUAAACUGCUAGAUGCUCUGAGAAACUUAAUUAUCCGAUUCGUUGUGAUAAAUUAAUAGAACCAUCAAUAGCCGUGAUAGUCCCUUAAUAUUUGGUGGCUAAUUAGCAAUGCAUUCAUGGUAGUUGCAUGUGCUUAUUUUGUGCAGUAUUCUAAUUCUAUCACUUGCAAAAUCGUUGUGGAAGGUCAAGAGGAGAAAACUGAAAAUGGGGCAGCAUGCAUCUCAUUUUAUUUUUUUAUGCAAUAGAGCCCUAUAUAUAAAAUAAAUAAUGUAUCUAUAACCUUCUCUAAUUAAUUUACUUAGUAAUUGACGCAAUUUGGCCGAACUGUUUCUAAACACACUAAGCUUCAGUUCUAUAUAUACCACGUACCACAUGUAUGAAUUCAUCAAGUGUCUGAUAAUACUAAACCUACUUCGACAAAAUGGAGAAAAUUGAGGUCAGUAUAAUUUCCAAACACACCAUCAAACCAUCAGCUUCCACUCCACGACUUCAGCCUUACAAGCUUACCCUCCUGGACCAGCUCACUCCUGCAAUGUAUGUCCCCAUGGUAUUCUUCUACCCCAUUACUGAUCCUGUCUUCAAUCUUCCUCAAACCCUAGCUGACUUAAGACAAGCCCUUUCCGAGACUCUCACUUUGUACUAUCCACUCUCUGGAAGGGUAAAAAACAACCUAUACAUCGAUGAUUUUGAAGAGGGUGUCCCAUACCUUGAGGCUCGAGUGAAUUGUGACAUAACUGAUUUCCUAAUGCUUCGGAAAAUCGAGUGCCUAAAUGAGUUUGUUCCAAUAAAAACAUUUAGUAUGGAAGCAAUAUCUGAUGAGCGUUACCCUUUGCUUGGAGUUCAAGUCAACAUUUUCGACUCUGGAAUAGCAAUCGGUGUCUCCGGCUCUCACAAGCUCAUUGAUGGAAGAACGGCAGACUGUUUUCUCAAGUCCUGGGGUGCUGUUUUUCGAGGGUGUCGUGAAGAUAUCAUACAUCCUUGUCUCUCUGAAGCAGCAUUGCUUUUCCCACCGAGAGAUGACCUGCCUGAAAAGUAUAUAGCUUUGAUGGAAGGGUUACGGUUUGCCGGAAAAAAAGUUUCUACGAGGAGAUUCGUAUUUGAUGCGAAAACCAUAUCUGCAAUUCAAGAUGAAGCGAAGAGCGAGUCCGUGCCCAAGCCAUCACGAGUUCAGGCCGUCACUGGUUUUCUCUGGAAACAUCUAAUCGUUGCUUCUCGGGCACUAACAUCAGGUAAAAUUAGUUUAUCAACAAGCCAAAUAAUAAAGCCUAAUGUAUUUGGGGUACUUAUUUAUAUAUUUUUAUUACGUAUAGCUAGUGUACUGUGUACAUAGCUCAAAGAAUGAGAAAAUAUAUGAACUUGCAGGUACUACUUCAACAAAACUUUCUAUAGCAGCCCAGGCAGUGAACAUAAGAUCACGGAUGAACAUGGAGACGGUGUUGGAUAAUGCCACUGGAAACUUGAUGUGGUGGGCACCGGCCAUACUAGAGCUAAGUCAUACAACACCAGAGAUUAGUGAUCUUAAGCUGUGUGACUUGGUUAACUUGCUCAAUGGAUCUGUCAAACAAUGUAACGAUGAUUACUUUGAGACUUUCAAGGGUAAAGAGGGAUAUGAAAGCAUGUGUGAGUAUCUAGAUUUUCAGAGGAUUAUGAGUUCUAUAGAACCAACACCAGAGAUUUAUACAUUCUCGAGCUGGACCAGUUUUUUCAACCAACUUGAUUUUGGAUGGGGGAGGUCAUCUUGGAUUGGAGUUACAGGAAAAAUUGAAUCUGCAUAUUGCAAUUCCACAGUGUUGGUUCCAACACAAUGCGAUACUGGAAUUGAAGCGUGGGUAAGUCUAGAAGAAGAGAAAAUGGCUACGCUAAAACAAGAUCCCCAGUUUCUAGCGGCAGCAUCUCCAAACCCCCCAGUUUCAAGGUGUUGAUUAAAAAAGAUUAUGUGGCUCGUGCAAUGUUUCUAUUUUGCAGUGAAUAAGGUUUAAAUUAGUUCACCCGUCGAUCAAUAAGAUGCAAGUAUGAUAGAUAUGUUAUUCGAAUGUGUUUCGAUAUGGUUGUAACCAAUUAAUAUAGCUCUUGUUUGUAACAAUGCUCUAUUAAGCUUCUAUCUAUAAAGUUAUUUCUCUAUUAAAAAAAAAACUAUGGAAGUGUUACCAAGCUUUGUUCUGUUUCAAAGGUAAGAUGCAUAUACUACCCGAAAAUAAUGUUCACCUAUCAUAAUUCUUCCACAUGAAAACCCGGUAAGAAUCACAUAAAAUAUUUCUAAUACUUUAGAAUCUAAUUUGGGUUUGUGACAACAUAAUUGAAGAGGUACAUAUUCUGAUACAUUCGUUAUUUAACGACAAGCAUGUACAUAAUACCUAACCUAGGAGGAGGGUGUACGUAGUGUUCUCUCUCCUUAAGAAGGCCUGCCUUUCGCGAAGGCCUCUUUCAAAGGACUGAUAUAAUAUAAUCUUCUUCUUUUUUUAAUCAAAAGAAACGAAAAUGGCUUCAUUGUUCAUAAUUUGGAAUAUAUGGUGGAUUGUACGGUGUUGUUUUGAGGGAGCUUCUCUCUCGGGUCAAGGGUUUCCAAUGGAUUUGUGCAAUGAGAUUUGAUUGGCAACAGUUAUUCGGGCAUCAACGCUCCAAUUUAGCACUCCUCAGUCCUCACUACCUCAUUGUUGUUGACGAUGGCGAUGACGACAUUAGCGAGCAUGGGUGAUGUGUGUGGCAUAUUUGUUUGUAUUGUUGCAUUAUUGCUUUCGGAUGUAAGGGCUUCGCCCUAUAGAUUAGCGAGCAAUUGGUCUCCUCUCAUUCUUUCUACCUUGAUCGAGUUGGAGAUCCAUGCACUUUAUUUGUAGUACUUUUUUUGGCCUCGCGUUUGCAAGCUUUGAAAUUCCCGUGAUUAAGGAAUUAUUCAUUUUUUACAAAAAAAAAGAAGAAGAUUUUUUCCUGAAAAAUAACACAACAACCAUCAUAAUUUCACUUUAUGUGGGAAAUUUAGCCAAAUCCGAAUCACAUCCACGUCGGCAACAGAGAGUGACUUGAAAGAAGUGCACCCAGAAAGCUAAAAAACCAUAAAAACUAGAAAACUUGAAUAAGGAAAAACUAAAGUAUGACAUUCCAAUCUAUUGUUUUAUGGUUUUUGAAGGAUUCAAAUUUGUCAACCACUUUUUACUUGACCACCUUAAUGACCACUAUCUAGAUUGGUGAUACGUGUCUUUUCAAAUUAUUUUACUUUAUUGUUUUAUUGUUGAUAAAAAAAAUAAACAUGUGUCACCAAUCUAAAUAGUGGUCAUUGAGAUGAUCAAGUAAAAGUGGUUGACAAAUUUGAAUCCAUUUCUUAUUGCGGUUUUGUUCUGCCAAAUCCAAAUCCCAUGACCCAAUCAUUUACACUCCCUCUCAAUCUCUGCAAAACUGACUGCUUCCCUUGAAAACGUGCGCAAUAAGGUACCUAGCUCUCUGCCCUUUUCCUUGUAAUGCAUUCAAGUCCCUGUAAAUUUUGUGGUUUUUGGUAAUGAUUUUAUGCUUGUGGAUCUCAAAUGGGUUUGGGUUUGUUUUGUUUUGGGAUUUUUAUAAAUGAAUGCAUUGGAAAUGUUAAAGCUUAUGCGUUUGUUCCAUGAUUCAGUGUUCUGCAAUUUGUGCCUUCUCUUCCGGAUCUGAUGUACGUGAUGUUCUAGCUAGUUGUCUUUUGGAUUGAAAAGAUAUUAUCUUUUGAUUGUUUUUGAUAGAACAUCAACAUCAAUCAUCAAUGAGAUGAAUCUGAAGUAGGUUAUUAGUUUGGAGAUAUGUUAAUGGUUAAUGAAUCAAGCUGAAGUUGUUCUGGUUAUUGGAGCAAUAGGUUCCAUACUGAAGCAUCUAAUUUUGAAUUUGCAAAGAGUGGUUGACGAGUUAUCCUUGGGAUUGGCGGGUGACAUUGAAAAAGUCUUGGUUUUGUGUAUAAGAGUUGAAAUGUGAUUUCUUUACUGUUACCAUGAUGUGGGUUCUACUAAAAGACUCGUUCUUGAAUCUGGGGUCAUGUCCUGUGAUGACUCAAUUCUUGCAAAACACAACUGAGAUGUGUCAAAAUGGGUUCGGGAGCGUCUUUAUAUAUCGAAGUAUCAUGAGUUUCGAUACUAAGUGAGGGUGCUGGAUAGAAUUGAGUUUGGAGGUUCAAUGCUUCAAAAACAAAGAAGCUAGAGGGAACGUAAUUCUUGAUGAUUCAAGACGGAUCAAUGACCUUGUAAUUAAGUUGCUUAUGUGCAAUUGUUGAGCUUAUGGUGUUUCCAGUUUGGAUACGGAUAGCUAUUUCUGUUUUCAGUAUAACCACCAUGUGUUGCAUCCUCUUACUCUUCAUCUUCAUUUACCUAUCUUUGAUCUGAUGUUCCAUUGGCAGAGCUCCCUUAUGCUAAACUGUAAAACCUGCAUUCCAGGUGGUCAUUCUGUUAGAACUUUGGAAGGUCUCGGAAAGGAAACACUCGUCGACAAAUUUUGGGAGCAGUUGCAUAAAAGGAAUGGUCUCCCAACUCGGAGAUAAUGGAGACGCGUACUGGAAAUUCCCGUCCCAAUAAAAAGCAAUCGUCGGAGAAGUCUAAAUCUGCCACUGAAGAGAAAAGGCCUGCAGAAAAGAAGCAAACACUUCUGUGUUUGUCAACUAUGGUAAGUUCAUUAGAUAGUAAGUACUGAGUUUUCUAACAUCGGUGUAACACCAUGCAACUAACUCAGUACUGUAGAAUAGACAUCUAUGUUAGUCUCUUUAGAUAAUAUGCACACUUUAACUUUUCAAAUGACGUCCUGCAUUAGUUAGUCAACUGUUCAAAAUCUCGUAGGUUACAAUUUUCCCAUCUCCAAAACCAAGUGUCCAUAAUCUUUUUCCCUCUUUGUUCACUAAACUAGUAAACUCCUCGUUUAGAUUAAUGUUCUAAAUCUUUUAGUUUUUGUUCCAUCUUGACAUAACUUGUGGCUCAUUACCUACGUUGCAUGGAAUCGGAAGCGGAAACGUGGAAGCGAAGCGUUUGGAAGCGCGGAAGCGAUUUUUUUGAAAAUAAUUUGGAAGCGAAAGCGUUUUAGAAAUGUGAGAAUCAAAAUAAUAUAUACAAAUAACAAAUAUAUAUCACCUAAUUUUAAUUUCAUUCAUUUAUUUUAAUCGUUAAUUUUAAUAAGUUGUACAAAUUAGUUUGAUUGUUUAGCAGAUAACAACUCAUUCUUAAAAAAAAAAGAUAUCACUAAACCUUAUAAAAAUAAACUUCUUCACUAAAAAAAAGUCCACCAUGAAAUAUUGAAAGCACACGUCUCUCUAAUCUCUACACCUUUUAAUCUUCUUUCUUCACCUCUCUAUGCUCUCUCACCCUCCAGGUUGCCGUCAUCUUCUUUAACUUCAUUCUCUCUCACUCCUCUCCCUCCCUCCAGUUUCAAAUCCUUUCUUAACAGGUCCUCAAGCAGAAGAUCUGAUUGAUUAUAGAUUUCGAAAGAGAUAGAGAGAAGAUUGAUGUGCCGCUGAAUCAGUUCUCGUGCAGUGGACCAUCGCGCUUCCAAAUCAAAAUCGUGAGCUUCCAUAUUGGAAGCAUGCGCUUCCGUCGUGCUUCCAAAACCCUCUUUUCCCGGAAUCACGAUUCCGGGCGCUUCCGAGCGCUUCCACGGCGUUUCCGCUUCGCUUCCGCUUCGGAAGCGGGCGAGUGGCCCGGCGCUUCCGUGCUUCCUAGCUCAUUACUGCCCUGUAAACCAACUACGGCCGAGUUGUACCAAAAGGAAAUUCGGCCUCUCAUCAAUGAGUAAAGGUUUUUUUUUUUUUUUUCUUCCUUUUGUGGGGGAAGAAGAAGUAUGCAAUAAUUUUGGAAGUAACAUAUCCCCUAUCACCAUUCCUUGCAACAAGCAAUUACUUCUGGCAUUUUGUGGUUGAUGUUGAUCAUUUUGUAACUUUUGUUCUUUCAUGAUAAUAAAGCUAAUUUCUCAUGUAGCUGCAAUUGCUUGGCAUGAGAGUAGAAGAAAGUGGAUAGGGGAUCAGCGGCUGCAAAGAAUGGCCAAGGAUCCAAUUAUAAGGUAUUUUUUCCUCACAAAGGUUCCUGGAUAGAAUGGGGUUAGCAAGUCAUGGUUAAAGAGUUGCACCUUAAAGUUUAAUAACAAAAGAAAAGUUGGAGAGCAUAACUGCCAUAACUUAUAUUCUUUGUAGGUACAAAUGAACUCAUUAACACUGGUGUGUCAGUUUUUAGGAAAUUACACUUAUAUUUGAGUAUCUGUCACUCUGUCCACUACUUGCACCCUGACUUGCUGAUCUGUAAAUCCUAGAUUUUUCAAAAUUGCUCCUUUAGUCCUUUUGUUUGGUGUGUGUCCAUAUUAGUAGCUUUGUCCAUUUAUGCUGUUAAAUUGUAGCUGCUAUAUGAAUGUCAGGAAGUUAAAUGUGAAAACUAUAUGCUGCAUAUUAUAGCACCAUUGUAAUGAUUGAUGAUAUUAGUGUCUUUGUCCAAUUAUUUUCUGUUCAAUUAUUGCUACUUCUUGAAGAUAAUGUGGAAAGUUUAUGUUUCAGCUGGUCAACAGCCUAUGAGGAUCUACUCUCAACCAAUGAGUGUUUUUCUGAGCCGAUCCCCUUAACUGUAAGUCGAUCAUAUAAUAGCACAUACCUGUCCAAUAAAUAUCUUCUGAUAAGUCAUAUAUCUCUAUUACUUGUGUUUAUUUGACAUUGGAAAUAUUUUCUAAAGUUUGAUGUUUUUAUAAAAUUGGUUUUAAGCAUGUUUUCAUACUGGAGCUCCACUUUAUGUUUUCAAAAGUCAUGGGUAGUUUUCUUGAGCAGCGAGGACGAAAACUCAUCCCUACAACAGUUUGUGGAUGCAUGUAUUGUGCACUGGGACAAGAUAAUGGCGAGGAGUUGGGUGUGCAUGUUUGUGAUCGGUAAUUUAUUUUCUAUGCUUACAUGUUUAUUUUUAGACUCAAGUUACAUGUUUAAAUUGUAUUCUGUUGGCCUUGUUAUAAUCUCAUCCGUGAUUCUAUUAAUGAAGCUUGUUAAUUACUGGCCAUUCCUUAUAUCAAGUUUUAUACGAACAUAAGAGUCUAAUCCUGAUAUGAUUUUGUCUUGUGAGACUCUCAUUGCAAUUUGUAUUCUUUUGAGUUCAUUAUUUCUUAACGUUUAUUGUGUUAGGUUUUAGACGAAUGACUUUACCUUAAGCAAAUUAAAUAUUUUUCUUUUACAUACACCUCAAAUAGUUUUACGCUUCCGUGGUGUUUGCUUAAAUGAUUUCUUAAAUAAACUGUCUUGCGUUUCUCUUGGUUUUUAUUUUAGAGACAUGCGGCACUGUGACGUGUCUAAACUAAGGAGGCGUAGUUUGGGGCGUUACAGAUUUAAUCUUUACACACUAUGAGAAUAUCAAAAUAUCACGAUAUUUGUGCAAAACUCACGAAAUCUUGUUAUUAAAUCAGCCGAAGUCAUCAUAUAUAGUCAUUAACUCGGGCCAAACUUAUAAAAUUAACACUAAAGUCUUGGCGCAGCUAACAUGAUUUGAACCCAGGUUGCCACAUGUUUGUAACAUCCUGAAAUUUCAAAUUUUUAUUUUUAAAAGGAAAGUUAUUUUUAUUUCGAUUUCUAUUAUUCUUUUAAAUUCUUUAUAGUUUUUGAAAAUUAUUCAAAUUUUGUUUUUGGAGCCCAUCGGAUUAAACUAGAGGCCGUGAUGAAUUUGUGGGAUUUUUCGGAACACCGUUUGGAUAUCGGAUAUAUUUUUAAUGAUUUUUAGAAGUUGGUAUUAUCUAAAAAUUUAAUUAAAAAUAGAAAAUCAAGGUCGGUCAAAUUUGGUCCGUCCAGAUUAUAUGGGUAUGGAUCAACUUGGACUUCAUUAUACCCAGUCCCAGACCGACUCCGUCUCCAGCCUCUAUCAGCGACGGAGACCUCCGGUCACUCCUCCGUUGUCCGGCCGUCUCCCGCCGCAAAACGACUGUCUACAGCUCUGUCUCGACGUCCCCGACCUCCCUGGGAUUCCAGCUUGAUGAGUGGAGCUCCGGAAAAGGAGGAGAGAAGGCGACUGUGUUUCCGAUCGGGUUUCCGAUUCCGGUGACGGCGGCGAGCGUGAAUGGUACUGGAAGCAUCCUCUCGUCCUCGUGGUCUUCCCUAUGUCCUCAGUUUCUUCAGAAGAGGUCGGGAGAGAGAGAUUCGAAGUGGAGAAGGAGAGGCUGGGUUCGCCGGCGAGUUUCCGAUUCCGGCCAAGUCGAGGUUUCUCACUGGUAUGAAUAGCUUCAUGUCGGUCUCGGGAACCUUUCCAUGUUGGUGGUUUUCGAAGAGAAGCUCGGAGGAGGGAGAAUCGAAGAGGAGAAGUUUCUGAAUUUUCCGGCGAGGGUUCGACGGAUUCCGGUGAAGCUUGAUGUCGACUCAGGUAUUAAAGUUGGUCUAUUCGAUGAGCUUUACAUGUUUCUAUAAUUGAAAUUGAGAUUGGUUGGGUGUUGGAGAAGUGGGAUUUUGGACAGGUUGUCGACCACCGUGUACGGCGGCGGCGGCGGUUGUUCUUGUAGUUUCUGGCUUUUGUUAAUACAUUGAUUGUGGAGGAGUGUUUUGAGAUGUAUUAGAAUUGCAGGAACAUGAGAAUUGUAUGAAGUUGGGUUUUGAGCAGUGUGGUGUGUGGCCACUGUUCACGGCGGCUAUGGUGGUGUUUUGAAAUCAGAAGACUUGUGUGAGGGAGAGGUUGAAGAUGUGUAUUAUGUUUGGUAUGAGUGUUCAUUCAAUUGGCUUUGGUAUUUGAGAGCAGGGUGCUACGAAUAUCUUGGUUUUGUGAUCAAAGUUGAAGUAAAGCAUAUAUGUUUGUAUGGUUGUGAGAUAUGGUGGUAACUGCAGCAAUGGAUAGUUGAUCAAGGUUCACAUGAUCUUGGAACAAAUGUCCAGUCGAUAACUUUAAGAUGUAAUUGGUAUUGCUAUGCUUGAACAAUUGUGUUUCGGUGGAUUGAAGAUUUGCCGGAAGGUGUGUAGUAAGAUGGGUGUCCAAAGUAAUUGAUGGAGACUGGUGUGUUCUCUUUUGAAUUAUUGUUAGAGAAAGAUGAUUAGAGGAGUUGGGUGUAAUGAACGUUAAGUUGGCUUUGCUGGGUUGUUGUGGAGUCUUAAGAGCAGUAUGGGUACGGGAACAGAAGAAUUGGAUUUUCAUUACUUUCAUAUGGAUUUGAUGUGUUGCUGGGGAGUAGGAAACAGUAAAGGAUUUAGGUUUGGUCAUGUCUGGGUUCGUUGAUAAGUUGUUAUGCCUACAAUUAAGACAUGAGAAGAUUGAUCAAGUUUGAGAUAGGCAAAUAUAAAGGAUUUAGUAGAAAAGAGGAAUUGGGUGUAGAGAGUAAAUUCGGUGCUUAGCUUGGUGCUUGGAGCAUGGUUGGGAUACGACUAAUUAUGGGUGGCGUGUGAUUUGGUAAUUGUCGGAAAAGGUGAGCGGAAUUGGAAAUAAAGAUUUUGAUCGUUUCUAAUUAAAGUGUUUGCCGACUUUAUUGGAACAAGGAUUUGAUGUGAGGGAGCAUGUUGCAAUCCGAGGAGCAGAAUGAUAAGGAUUUCAAAAUGCGUGCCGCGGUGUUAUUAAUUUUAGUAAGCGUCGGAGUCAAGGCUUGGAUUCCAGGUAGGGUCUCUCUCAGGGAACUUUUCUUUAAAUUGAUAAUUAGGUUAUUGUUGAAAUCGGUGCAUUGUGUGGCAUUGGUUGAUAUAACUCUUGGUUGUUAUCGAUUUUGUUAAAAGCAUGUGAUAUCGUUGAUUUAUAUGAAAUUAAUGUUAUUGCUUUCCGUAAAAGCAUGAGUUGAAUGUUAUGAUAUGAGUAUUGAUAUUCAAUUGACAUGCAUAAUGCAUUGUGAGGAAUUGUGAGAAGUGAGAUUGGUGAUUCUGGAGAUGAGAAAGAGAUUGAUAGAAUAGAUACAUUUUGUGUAGUUGAGUUUCCUCAUGGGUUGUCCAAGAUCCAGGGUAGUCCACACGUGCAUAAGUUCAGGGAAUGUAUGCCAUUUCGAUGGCGGACAUCGACAAAACAAUUUUAUCGGGUUUCGGGUUUGGAGACCAUGAGUAUAACAAGAUGAUUAACAAUAGAGGUACAAGCCAUAAGAUAUUACUGAUUAUUAGAUCAUAUAUUUGAGACAUUUGUGUCACCCCCGGUUGGUAAAAUACACGGUAUGGGACGUGUAGGCUCACAUAUCUUUGAUGUAUGGACUGAUAGCCAGUAAUUGAGGAAGACAUUCAUUAGCAUACAUGUAUCAAAUUGUCGUUAUUUAUUUAAAGUAUUAUUUGAUGUUUGAUAACUUGUUUGUGCGAUGUAGUUAAUUAUAACUUAAAAAGGUUUGGCUCUUUGGCCCUACUAAGCGUAAGCUCACCCCUAUAAACUUUUGUUCAGGUACGUUUGAGGACACGUUUUUCUAGAAGCGUAACUGUGAAGUUUAGCUGACGUGUACGAGAGUAGAAGAGUUACAGAAGAUUAGAAGUCAGAUAGAUCGUAAGGGCUUAUCUUUUUGUCUUUGUAAUUGUUUUUUGUUAUUGUAAACGUUUUAUUUUCUUUUAUUUCUGGAAAAGUAUUUGAAAUUGUUUUAUUUUCUUUUACUUUUCCCGCUCAUGUCUCGGGUACGGCGUCAGGUGCUUGGAAACCACCGACACCGGGUCCGGGGUUUGAUGUAUGGACUAGCCAGUAAUUGAGGAAGACAUUCAUUAGCAUACAUGUAUCAAAUUGUCGUUAUUUAUUUAAAGUAUUAUUUGAUGUUUGAUCACUUGUUUGUGCGAUGUAGUUAAGUAUAACCUAAAAAGGUUUGGCUCUACUGAGUGUAAGCUCAUCCCUAUAGAUUUUUGUUUAGGUACGUUUGAGGAUACGUAUUUCUAGAAGCGUAACUGUGAAGUUUAGCUGACGUGUACGAGAGUAAAAGAGUUACGGAAGAUUAGAAGUCAGAUAGAUUGUAAGGGCUCAUCUUUUUGUCUUUGUAAUUGUUUUUUGUUAUUGUAAACGUUUUAUUUUCUUUUAUUUCUGGAAAAGUAUUUGAAAUUGUUUUAUUUUCUUUUAUUUUUUCCGCUCACGUCUUGGGUACGGCAUCAGGUGCUUGGAAAUCACCGACACCGGAUCCGGGGUGUGACAAUGGUAUAUCUCACAUUCUCAACCAAUCCUCCUAAGGUGAUACUUGAUUACUACAUUGAACAUUUUAUUAUAAACUCUACAUAUAUUUUCAUACUUUUAAAAUUUCUUUUCGAAAUUUUAUUAAUAUUGAUAUUUUCUAAUAUUUUUAUCAAAAUAUCUAUUUUUCAGAUAGUCAAAAUUUUCUUGAAACGUGAUAUUUUUGUAAUAUAUCGAAAUUUCAAAUUUUUAUUUUUAAAAGAAAAAUUAUUUCCGAGCUAUUUUUAUUUCGAUUUCUAUUAUUUCUUUCAAUUCUUUGUAGCUUUCGAAAAUUAUUUCAAUUUUUAGUUUGUCAAAAUUUAUCUUUUGAGUCCAUAGGAUUAACGGAAGCGUUUUCGGACAUCGGAGCUAUUUUUAAUAAUUUUUAGAAGUUAAUAUCGUCUAAAAAAAAAAUAUUUUUAAACCCGCUUGAUCUGGACCGUUGGAUCAUUUAAACCGCAAGAUCUGGGCUGGGGGAGACUGGAUCAGAUCAGUUCAGACCCAGACUGGGUCAGCCUCGAUCCAAAUAGCAGCGACGGGUGACCGGACUGCCGCUUUGUCCUCCAGCGACGGCGUGGGGAAAUCAUGGCAGCUUCGGCUUCGUCUCGGUCGCCUGAUCCUAUCUGUGGUCUCGAUUUCGUCGAUGGAGCUUCGAUGAGAGAGAAUCGAAGAAGGGUAGCUUUUUCUGGGUUUGUCGACGAGUUUACUAUUUCAGCCACGGCGGCGAGCAUGAUCGGUCUUGGUAGCUUCACCUCGACCUGUUGAACAUUUCUUUGAAGAGAAGGUCGGAGGAGGGAGAAUCGAAGAGAAGAAGUUUUUAGGUUUUAGGCAGUGUUCUUGGUGUUUUCCGGCGACCUCGGACUUCAAUUCAGGUAUCAAAGUUGGUCGACUCGUCAAGCCCUACAUCUCUAUAUAAUUGGUUUUCAUUUUUGAUUAAGUUUUGAAGAAUCGAAGUUUUGGGGUUUUACUGUGCAAUUUGAGUUUUCCUGUUUGUGUGGUGAUUUUGGUUGCCUUGGGGCGUUCUUCGAUUGGAAUUGACUUUAUGAAGUUGAUUUGAUGAUCUUAAGCCCUUGAAUUACAUAAUUGGAAAAGUUGGGUUUUGGGGCAGUGUUGUUCGGCGAUGGAAGUGGUGGUUGAUGGUUCUGGGUUUGGUUUAUGUUUUAGAUGAAAUUACAAGAGCAUUAGAACUUAAUUAUGUUGUUGUGUCGCCUGGAUUCCAUAAACGGAGAAGUUGAGUGUAAGAAAAUUAGAGUUAUGCAAUUUGGAAUUGAGCUAAGAUUGGAGUAGAUGAUAGUAUCGGGUUUUCUGCUGAUUUUGGUUUAUUGUUUGUGGUGGUGACUGCAGUAUUCUUGUUCCAUUUCCAAUCAUAUGAAAGUGCAGGAACAUGAAUUUGGAUGCUUGAUUGGUAAAAGAUGAGUUUUGGGUGGUAGGAAAUGGAGCUGUGUUAUUGGAAUAGGGAGGGGAAGAUGGUUGUGUAUAGUACUAAUACUGAACUUGGCGGAGUUGAAGGAUGCAACUAAGAACUGUUGAUUUGCGAUAUGGAACUAGGAGCUUGAUUUCAAAUGGAGAAAGUGAGUAUUGGCAAGUGCAGGAGUAGGACAACUUGAGAAGUAUAAAUUGGCUAAAGAGCUUAUGGGUGUCCUUAUCAAUUUCAAAGACUGGAUUGCAUCGACUUGAAAUCAUCAGAGUGAAUAAAUGCGGAUUAAGGAACUCAUCUGGGUGUCUUAGUAGAUUUAUGAAUUCGGUCCGGUUGACUUAAAGUGACUUAAAUUUGGCUUAAAGUGAGUUUUGCGGAUUAAGGAUUCAGGGUGUCCUUAGUAAUUUUAAGAACAUGAUCAAUUUUGGAAAUUGAUUUAGUUUAUUUGAGGUUCGACGGCUUUCUCGGUAAGGAAUUGUGACGAGGAUCGAGUGACUAUCGACUUUUUCAGAAGCAGAAGGAUAAAGAUUUCAGAAUGCGUGUCGCUGAGUUAUUAGUUUUAAUUAGCGUCAGAACUAGCGCUCGGAUUUCAGGUAUGGUCUUUCUUGGGGAACCUUUUUUUAAAUUGAUAAUUAGAUUGUUAUUGAAAUUGGUGAAUUGUUUGUCAUUGAGUGAUUAACUCUUGGAUGUUACUGCUUUCUAUAAAAGCAUGUGUAAUCGUUGAGUUAUAUGAUUGUUAUUAUCGCUUUUCUUAAAAAGUAUGUGUUGGAUGAUAUAAUAUGAGUAUUGUUAUUCGUUGCAUACAUAAUGCAUUUUGAAGAAUUAUGAGAUUAGUGAGAUUGGUGAUUAUGGAGAGGUGAGAACGAGAUCAAAAUAUACAUUUUGUACAGUUGAGUUUCCUUAUGGGUUGUCCAUAAAUCUAUGUCAUCCCACUUGCGCAAAUGAGUGGGCAAAGUAUACUCCUUCGAUGGCGGACAUCAAUAAAACGAUCUUUCGGGUUUCGGUUUUGGAGAGUAUGAGUAUAACAAGAUGACUAACAAAAGAGGUACAGGUGAUGAGAUAUUACUGAUUGUUAGAUCAUAUAUUCGAGACAUCUGAGUCACCCAUGGUUGGUAAAAUACACUGUAUGAGACGUGUAACUGAGGAAGACAUUCAUUAGCAUAUAUGCAUCUAAUUAUCGUUAUAUAUUUAAAGUAUUGUUUGAUACUUGAUAACUUGAUUGUGUGACGACAUAGUUAAAUGUAACUAAAGAGGUUUGGCCCUACUAAGCGUGAGCUCAUCCCUAUAUACUCUUAUUCAGGUUCAUACAAGGACACAUAUUUGUAGAAGACUAACUGUGACGUUUAGUUGACGUGAACGAGAGUCGAGAAGGACUACCGAAGUUUCUAGUGAGCUAAACAACAAGACUAGUUUUACCUUUAUAGUGAGCUAGACUGCAAGACUUGUUUUGUCUUUAUAAUCGGUUUUGUUUUUUGUAAUCGUUUUAUUUUCGACUAUUUCGAGAAAAAUAUUUAAAAUUAUUUUAUUUUCUUUUAUUUUUCCCGCUCACGCCUCGGAUUCGGUGUUAAGUGUUUGGAAACCACCGACACCGGGUCAGGGGUGUGACAAUUUUAGUCCUUGGUUUGAUGCCUAAGCUACUUCGCUCCUCCAAACUGGGCCGGUGUUGGAUCAAACAAACAGAAACUUGAAAGAAGGAGUCCGAUACAAGUCAUACAACUACGUUGGUCGGAGCGGAUUUUACGCAUCAAGGUGCCCUUGCACCAUUAAUCUGUAAGUUUUUAAAUCUUCGUAUGCAAAGAUUUAAUGAAGACUAGAGACCUUAAAUUCUUUUCUUUCAUUUUUAUUUUUGACCUGAUCAAAUUAAACGCCAAUAAUUAGAGUACCUCUUAUUCAAUCUCAUGUCCUCAUCUCUUGUGUUGAAAACACUUUUGAUUAUUUUUUUGAGUUUUAAUUUUGUUAAUGGUAUUAAAAUACAUGCAUGAUAAUGCGACAUAGAUGAUCGGAUCAAAACAUUGCGUAUUAAUUGCUCGAUUCACUUGUAGAAGAAUUUUCGAGCUUCGGGCCAAUAUUCCAUUUUUCUUUUUAAUAAAAAAUUCUAGCAGCUAGACAGCUAGUUAACCAAUUGUGAAGCUACACAACUGGGACUUGCAGCGGAAAACAACUACCACGCGUUGCAUGGAGAGGUUAGGUCCUGCAUGCAACUCCGCCGCCCGUAAAUCUCCUACUGACAGCUCUACCCCUCGAUUUGCAGAUACUGAUGUAAAACCCGAGGACAAAACGGUAAUCGUUGAUACUCCGAGCCAGACAUAAAACUAUCCAAGAACAAAGAGGAGACACCACAGGAAAAAUGACCGGACCGCCUCUACCUCGACCCUUUCUAACGUGCUUGGUUGGUGUAGCAGUCUUAACCUGCGCACUAACCUUCUGUGUUGCCCUAGAUGUCACCCCCCAAGACCCAAUCAUCCACCAAGUCACAGACCAUGAUACUAACAAGCUCCUUGGAACCGAGAAAGAGUUCAAGAGUUUCAUGGAGAAGUAUGAGAAGAAGUACCCUACUAGGAAGGAGUACAUGCACCGGCUAGUUGUUUUUUCCAAGAACAUGAUCAGAUCCGCCGAGCACCAAGCUCUGGAUCCGACGGCGGUUCACGGCGUCACGCCGUUCUCGGAUCUGGAGGAGGAGGAGUUCGAGAGGAUGUACACCAUUCCUCGAAAAGUUAAAGUAAUCUUUUUUAGAAAUCGAAUGGAUUCGGUCUUAUACAUACGCAAGGAAGGUAAUAAAAAAAAAGAAAGAUGAGUUCUUUUAUCACUUAGGAGCUGUGCGAGAUAAAAGUCUCAUGCACGGUUUUGAAUGAGAGAAAGAAGUGAGGAAUCCUUUUUUCGACACUGACUCUCCCACUCCAGUUGUUGCUUUUUUUUUCUUUUUUUUCUGUUACUUCAAAAGUCGUUGCUUCAGUUUCAGCCACUCGAAUUUUCGAUGUUCUUUUUUAUUUCUCAUCAAACGAAUGGCAUUUUCUUCCUAUUACUCAAACAAGCAUGAAACGUAUGCUUGCGUAUUCGUCCAUAGGUCAAAUUGGAUAUGUAAUUAUUGGAAUAAUUGUUGGAGACUCAAAUGGUGGAUAUGUAAGCAUGAUAACUUAUAUGUUGUUCUAUAUCUCUAUGAAUCUAGGAACUUUUGUUUGCAUUAUAUCAUUUGGUUAGAGGUGCGCCCGGCUUAACCAACGGCGGAGGCGGUACGGGGAGCACGGUUGAGCUUCUGGAUGUUAGCGGGUUGCCUGAGAGUUUUGAUUGGAGAGAGAAAAAGGAGCUGUUACUGAGGUCAAGAUGCAGGUAGUUUCUAAUUUUCGUUUUAUUUCUGAUUUUUUAGGUUGGACACACAAUAUAUGUGAUUAACAGUUUCGGCCGUACUUAAAUCCUAGCUUUUUGCAAAUCAAGUUAUGGCACAUACGAUAUAGAAGUCUCGUAGCUGGUUGUAAAUUACUAAAUUGUGUAAUCUGAAGUCGAUCAGCUGAUCAGGUGCUGCUGGUUCUUUUGUUUAAUUGAUUGUAUAACUAGCUUGACUUUGAGAGUUUGAAGUUUUGUACAGAAAGAUUUGUCUAAUAGAGCUAGGGUGUUUGUGGAACAUGGAAUUAUUCUUCAGGCAAGGAGUUGUAUUGUGAUACUUAAAGCCUCUAAAUCUCUUGUUAUGGAUGCAGGGUGGCUGUGGGUCGUGCUGGACCUUUAGCACAACGGGAGCUAUUGAAGGAGCCAAUUUCAUUGCCACUGGGAAGCUUGUUAGUCUCAGUGAACAGCAGCUUGUUGACUGUGAUCACCAGGUAAUUAAGCCUAGCCUCUCUGGAAUAUAUUGAAGUACUCAUUUAACUUUAGGGCGAUAAAAAUUUAAUUGAUUGAGCAUAUAUAUAAUAUUUGGCAUGCCUACUUAAUUAGUUUCGUUUAAUGUUUGUGGCAACUAUAAUCAAGUGUGAUGCAAAAGAGAAAGAUGCAUGUGAUCGUGGUUGUGGUGGCGGACUUAUGACAAAUGCCUACAAGUAUCUAAUGGAAGCAGGAGGGUUGCAAGACGAGGUUUCAUACCCUUAUACGGGGAAAAAGGGCGAAUGCAAAUUUAAUCCUGAAAAAGUAGCCGUGAGAGUAACCAAUUUCACCACUAUUCCCCUUGAUGAGAAUCAGAUUGCAGCGAACUUGGUCCACAAUGGUCCUCUUGCCAGUGAGUACUAAACCUGAUAAUAUGCUUAAAAAUAGCUAGGCUUUUUAUGUAUCUAUGUGUGCGUACAUAGAACUGCCUUAAGUGUCUUAUUUUCUGAAUAUGAUGUGCACUGUUUAGCAUAUUUAGAUCUGAGUGUAGAUACACCCCACUGAUACAGAAUCUUAAUUGAUGUAUGUAUGCGCAGUUGGCUUGAAUGCUAUGUUCAUGCAAACCUACAUUGGCGGUGUGUCAUGCCCUCUUGUUUGUUUCAAGAAAUGGGUGAACCACGGUGGUUCACUUGUUGGAUAUGGUGAGAGUGGCUUCUCGAUUCUCAGGCUCAGCAACAAGCCGUAUUGGAUCAUCAAGAAUUCAUGGAGCGCAAAAUGGGGAGAACAUGGUUAUUACCGACUUUGCCGAGGCCAUGGCAUGUGUGGGAUGAAUACCAUGGUGUCUGCAGUUGUGACCAGUACGCGGGCAUCCUAGCUGCAUCUCCCGAGAUUAGCUAGUAUAUAAUUAUACACUAUAAUAUUAUAUGCACCUCUCCCUUGUUUUUUCUUAAUCCGAAUUUGAUGUUCCUAUAAUCAUAUUUCAACAAUAUUAUUGUUAAUAUGCCGAAGUGGAAAGUCUUGUUUACGUCAAAACCAAUUCGAACUAUAUUUUGUUAGCUUUAAAUGCUAGAUUGUCAGACUUCAAAUUUAAGUCGGAAAAAUUUUACAAUAUGUUAAUGCAUGUUAUGCAUCAAUUUUAUCCUAAAAUUGUAAAAUGAGUCUCUAAAGUAGUAAUAUUAGUCCUUGAAGUUGUAAUAUAUACGAGUAGUUGUAAAUUUUAAAGUUACAACAUUAGUUAUCAUGUGUCCUUAAAGUAAAUUUUACAGUUACAACAUUAGUCAUUGUGUCUUUAAAGUGAUAAAAUGCGUGCUUAAAGUGGUAAUUGAAUCCUCAAAGUGAUUGAAAAAGUUUUUAUAUCUUUGAGGAUUUGUAUUACAACUUUGAGGAUUUGUAUUACAACUUUGAGGACUCAGUUACCUCUUUAAGGACACAUAAGGAUUAAUAUUGUAACUAAUUUUUUUACAACUUUAAAGACUUAUAUUACAACUUUAAGGACUAGCUAAUAUUACUACCGUAAGACUCGAUCAUUUUAUAACUUAAGAGCAAAGUUGAUACAUCACAUGCAUUUUUUUUUUAUUGGUUAAUGAUCGAGGAUAGGCGAAUAAUCACCUAUCACUCUAUGUUAUUAAUAAAAGAAAAAAGAAACAAAGGAGGGGGAUCAAAACCAAAACAUCCUAAAACAAAUGACAGACUAGCUGAAACGAAAUUGAGGCAUACCUCUAACAUCGUUAUUAUAAGACAAUAAUAUGAAAGGUGGAGGCUCAUCCCACCAUAUCAAUUCAGAGCAUGACGUACCUUGAUUUGCCAGAGCAUCAGCUAUCUUAUUCCCUUCACGAAAAAUAUGAGUAGCCUUGAAAUUCAUUUUAGAGAUUCGGUAUAAGCAAUUCAACCAACGAACUCGAAGAGGCCAAGGAACAAGAGAAGGUCUGCGAAUAUAAUCAAGUACCAAAGAUGAGUCAACUUCCAACCAAAUAUGCUUCCAAUCACGAACCCAAGCAAGCUCAAUAGCUUUAAUAACAGCCAUUAUCUCCGUUGAAAUUGAACUAGGAAUUUCAAGAUUAGAGGCAAAAAGCACCUAGAAAGUGGCCCUUGUAAUCUCUAAAAAUAGCACCAUAACCACCCACUCCCUCUUCAUGCUUCCAAGAGCCAUCAGAAUUUAUCUUCACCCACCCAAGAGAAGGAGGAAUCCAAUUAACUUCAACCACUCUAGGAGUGGCACGAGGUCGACAUGGGGCUCCAAAACAUUUCAAAAUUCGUAGCUCCUGGACACUGUUAUGCAUAUGACCCGUUGUAAGAUGACUAGUGGCUCUUAUAUGACUUGAUAUUAGCUUGCAAACAACUUCAACUGAAAAGCGACAACCAUCAAAUCUGGUUUUAUUUCUCACAUGCCAAACAAACCACAAAAUGGAGGUAAAGCAAAUAAGCCAUAAUUCCAUUAAUUGAGGACUUCUUCCAUUCUGCAAACCCAACCCAUAAAGCUCCAAAAUAGAAGAAGGAAUCAUACCUAACUCAAAAAUAGAGCCAAAGUGACAGAAGAGACGCCAACGGCACCAACACCCAAAGCCAAAGGUAAAGUGUUCGUCAAAGGACUCCACAAUUCCAAGAAUGCUUUCCAUGUGCUCGUGCAAUAAUGGUAAGGAUAUCGAGAGACGCCAACGGCACCAAAUAUUCCAGCUUGAUUCAAUACGCCUUCAAAAUUGGCUAAUAUGAAUUCUGUCCACUCCAUUACGCCUAUCUCAAGUGUAGCACAACCCCGGAAACAAAGGCUCGAAGACCAAUCUUGUUUGGUGUUUAGCAUCCUGUGAAGUAUCGGGUAAAAAUUCUCUUCGAAAGUGAAAAGACCUCCAUCAUGUCUGUUAUCAACCUUCUCCAAAGUAUGCCCCUUAAAUACAUGGGAAAAGUUGUGGGUUGUUCUUAUCACUUGAUCCUCCAAAUCUUGGCGAAAUGUAAGAAAGCCUGAGUUCAUUUCAACUUCUGUCACCAAGGUAAUGAUGUCUUUAGGAGGGACAUCAACAUGAAUGGAGCUUAAAGGCUGUGAUCUCACGUACUCUAUGCCCUUUCCAACAACCUGCCUGUGUUUGUCCAAAGCUGCCUCGCGGGAAAUUCGACCAUAUGCAUCCAUUACCUGAGAUUAUAGCACGCAGAGAUGUUAAAAGCAAGCAAUAGCAAGUCAAGCUUUGCGCGAGAAAAGCAAGUUCCACGUACAAAGCUUGAGGGGGCACUGUUGAUACCAAAAAAAAAGGAUUACAGAAAAGGAAAAAAAUAAAUAAAAUAAAUAAAUGGAAGAGUAUUUAUUCAUGUCAUACUCUUCCGUUGGUUUUGAUUACACGCACAAAGCUUUUGAGUUCAAUUACAACUCUUGCAAGCAGGUGCUUGGAUAAGAACAAAUCAGUACGAGCACCAGAGUUUGAUUGUAACUCAAUUAUCCUAACCAAGCACUCUAUAUAAAGAGGCCAAUACCUUCAAAAAAAAAAAAAAAANAANNNNNNNNNNNNNNNNNNNNAACACCAACGGGAGGAGGCAGGCGGGCAACAAGGAGGAUCACAAAGGAGCGGUUCAUUCUUUACAAGGUUCGGAUGGAGAGUUCUCUUUCUCUUUGCGCAGCUCUCUUUAUGUUCUGUUGAUGGAGGCAUCACUGCCUUCAUAUUCCUCGCAGAUGGCCUCUGGUGUUCUUGGUUACUAUUGUUCCUGGUCACCCAAAUCCCUUGCGGAUCGAUCUGGUUAUUAUAGUUACUGUGUUCUGUUGGUUACUUGGUUACUACUGUGUUCUCUUGGUUACUUGGUUACUCAAAUCCCUUGUGGAUCGUUCCUGGUUACUCGUUACUUGGUUACACAAAUCCCUUGCGGAUCGUUCCUGGUUACUUGUUACCCUAAACAUUGGUUACUGGAUACUAUGGUUACUGGAGACUAAUGGCUACUAUGGCAAUGGUUCUAUGUUACAAUGGUUAUAUGACACUAUGGUUACUAUGAUUCUGGUUCUAUGGCUACUGUAGCACUAUGGUUACAAUAUGGUUCUGGUUCUUUGGGUACUUUGACACUGGUUACUAUAACAGAUCGGUUGCCCUUUGAUCCUACAAAACCAAACACAAAACCAAUACUCAAAAUUCCACCACAAAAGGCCAUUGUUGUCCCUGUUCCCUGUUAACCACCACAGCCAAAUACCUUUCCAAAUUCCAUGUUUCAAGCACCAACUCAAAUACUGUGCAAUGAAACUAAAAGAGACAAUAACAGAGGCUUACCCUCAAACUAUGACAAUCGAUCUAUUCCGAUACUACAACUACUACCUGUGUUUCAUACCUUCAUGCUGUAGCAGGAAUGGUGAUGAUAUUGCAAAAAGAGAACAGCAAGUUCCUGUCAAGUUAACCUCACAAAAACAUCCGAGCAAAGAGAGUCAUUGAUUCUUUGGCUCUGUCCCUUUAAAAAAAACAAAGGGGGCUCGGUGAGUUUUCUCAUGAUUCUUCUCCAAUAUCACAAGAUGACAAGAAUCAAGCUUGGCGGUGACCCUCCCAAACAGAGAAGGCUUACUCAAACAUAAAUAUGCAUUCACCACCAUGGAGUAAAACAAAAGAAGCAAACUUAAUUAAACAAGUUUUGUUUCUGGAAGUUCCAAGGCAGCGAGCCGAAUACACCCACAGUCAAAUAAAUUGGAGCUAAGAAGUUUAGAGUCUCAAAGCAAAAGACGUGUUCUUCCUCAAAUUAAAGCCUGCAAAUUGAAGCCUGCAGCAAAAUUAACCUACUCGAAGCUAAGCUCAUCCAUUCGACGCUAAGCUAAUCUACUCGAAGUUAAGGAAGCGAAGGAUAAUUAAUUUUGCCAUUGAAGAAUUGUAACAAAGCACCUAUCCAACACAAGGCAGUAACCAAAUUGAACGCUACCUGUGAAGAAACAAGCUUUUGACCAGUGGGAAAUCCUUCGAAAUUACUCUGAAGCAUAAUGGAGAUACUUUCGUCAUGAGGGUAUUUGAAUUGUAGGGAUGAAAGCAGGAACACAAUAGGGGUUAUCCUUACCCAAUUUCGCACAGUGAGAAAGAGCACAGCAAAUCUCAAGCCUCCCAGUGUUGAUAAAUUUCUUCUCGGCGACUUAGGAGCACUGCCAUCACCAAGUCGGUUGCUGCGCCAACCCCUCUCCAUUUGAUCAGUUUCGGCCUUCAAGUUCUUCUGGGUUACAAUAAACAAGGCAGCAGAAGAUCAAAAGAAAGAAAAGAAAUGAAGAAUGGGGAGAGGGAAAGCUAACGGGCCUCCACAUUGACGGAUGCUACUCACAAGCAAGGCCCAUGUCAAAUUUGGGCCCAUCUGAAAAGUUCAACGAGGCUCAAUAUAUGGGUGUUCAAAUCAAAAUACCCAAACUUCGGUUUCGUUUAAAAAUUCUUCGGAACCCGAAUGAAGUUGCGUUUGGUACAAAACCAAGAAAUACUCAAAUACCCAAAUUUUUGAACUACAAUGGUUUGAUCCCUUCACAGGGUAUGUAGGCAGUCCAGAUUUAAAUCUGGAUAUAACCACAUUUAAAGCCAAAUCGUUGGUUCUUUCCAAGCCAAAUUCUAAAACACAUAACCAAACCUUUCGACAAGUCAUCUACUUCGUCGAAACCCCAAAAGCCAUAAAACUUGAACUACGAGUGACUUGAUCCCUUAUGGGGUACGUAGGCAGCCUGUAAAACAAAUCGGGUGCAGUCGCAAUUCCCCUCGAACACACAUUCCCCAUUUGUUACUUUGUAAUUAGAAUCAAAGGGUCUUCCCCCGAAAGCAAGGGUUGUAAUUAAGAAAUUUAUUUUAUUUCGAAUGGGUCGAACCAGACAUAAUUAAAACUCUAUUUUAAUCAAUGAGAUAGAGUGAAAUUGUGUUGGGUAUAUUUAUUUACAAUUUUUGCUCAACAUAGUUUUUGGCGACUUCACUGGGGACUCUCAACUGGUCAUCAGACAAAUAAAUGACGAGUAUGCAGUCAAAAAUGAGAACCUUAUAUCAUACUACCAAAGAGUUAAAUAUCUCCUGGGACAAUUUCGAGAGAUAUAUGUUGGCCACAUUCCAAGAUCAGAGAAUGAUAAAGCAGACGCAUUGGCUAACUUGGCAGCUUCUUUAGUACUUCCUGAAGAGAAAGACAUCCAAAUAACAGUUGGAGAACGUCGAUUGCAGUCCUACGUCACUUGAACGAAUGGAAGCUACCAAUGAAACAAAUGUAGUUUCUGUGUUCGAAACUGAGGAAGAAUCUGAUUGGCUCAAAUUGAUGCAGUGAACGAGCAAGAGAGGAAAGUAUGAUUCAAAGUCUCCGAGCAAACACCACAAAGCUCACAUCUAGAAACCCAAGGAAUACCUCGACGCUGAAGUAAAACAUCAGAAAUAACUCUACCUCUUAACACCUUCCAUGCUAGGAAAGACAUUCUUGGCAGAAUAUAUUUAGCCCAUAAUCUCUUACCCCAAAUUACUGGAUUAGAAGAAUGCCGCAUAAAAGUAUAGGCUUGUUUUGCGGUUAACUCAUCGGAGGCUGAAGAGGUCCAUAUAAGUUUGUCAUUAACUGAAGGAUCUUCUGACACAGGGACUUGAUUGAUCAUACCACAUAAGGCUGGGUAGUGCAACUGUAGUAAUGGAGGAAGAUUCCAUGAACCAUUGUCUAUAUAUUUUGACACCAAAUCCGAGUUAUCCUGCAUCAACACAUUAGAACCAAAGAACUCAUUUAUUGGCCUACCCAUAAACUUGUCGCGCCAAAAGUAAAUUCCAUUCCCAGAACCAAUGAACCAUUGAGAAUUAUCUUGAACAGUCUUCCAGAAUUGACGAACACCAGGCCAUAUAGAAGAAGGAGCAUAAGAUUUCCGUCUAGAGAAACGAUUGCGAAUAAAAGCACAACCCUCAGAUUGAGCUGUAUAGAUUUCCCAGCAACGUUUCAAUAAGAGAGAUCGAUUAAGCAGAACUAGUUGUUUGAGCCCCAAGCCACCUUCUGCAAUUGGGGAACAACAAGACUUCCAAGCCACAAGAGGGAUCCCUCUUUUAUCAAUUGAGCCAGACCACAGAAAGUUUCGGCACCAUACCUCAAUUUUUCGCACCACAGACACAGGCCAUUCAUAUACUUGAAAAAUGUAUACCAACAUGCUAAAAAUAACAGACUUGAUAAGCUGCAAACGUCCUGCCAUUGACAAAAAAGAACUCACCCAACUCGAUAACUUUAUCCUUAUUUUGUCAACAAUCUGAUGGAAAUAAGAAGCACGAGGUUUGCCAUGAAAAAUAAGGGCACCCAGAUACAUGAAUGGAGCAGACCCCAAGGGAAUACCCAAGAAGUUCGAAAUAGAAUGCCGCCUUGAAUGUAUACUAUUUCCAAUAAAAACCUGAGACUUCCCUUUGUUGAUAACUUGACCUGAAACUCUACCAUACUCAUCGAAGAACCGCAUAAUCCGCGAUAAAUUCCGCCUAUUGCCCCGAAAAAAAACAAUAACAUCAUCUGCAAAUAGGACAUGAGAUGGAGCAAGAGUAUUUCGUGGAGAAGAGAUACGCUGCAGUUGUCCCGAUGAAACAAGUAAAGAGAUCCCACGACUAAGGACUUCUUCUGCUAAGCAAAAGAGCAAGGGAGAAAGAGGGUCACCUUGACGCACACCCCUUUCACAAGAAAAAUACCCCACAGUCCUCCCAUUAAUCAACAGAGAAAGCUUGGCUGACAGAAGCAAGGCACGCACCCAUUGUACAAAGAUCGGAUCAAACCCAAAAGCCUGAAGAACAUGAAGAAGAAAAUCCCAUGACAGAGUAUCAAACGCCUUUGUAAUAUCAACCUUAAUUGCAAGGUUACCCCCCAUGACAUUUUGAGUUCAACAAAUUAAAGCACUCUGAAGUAGUUAAUAUACAGUCUGAUAUGUUCCUCCCUGCAACAAAAGCAUGCUGUUGAGGAGAAAUAAUACGAGAUGCCACUGAUGCCAACCGGAUAGCUAUGAUCUUUGGGAUAAUUUUAAACACAAAGUUGGUGAGGGCAAUAGGCGAAACUGCUUUAUGGAGUCGGCAUGAUCAACUUUGGGGAUUAAGAUGAUAAUACCUGAGUUAAAGGAAGGAGCCAAAUAACCAUGUUGAAAAAAUACUGAACAGCCUUAACAACAUCAGCACCAACAACAUCCCAGCAAGAGACGAAAAAAUGGCCAUUAAAUCCAUCUGGCCCCGGGGCACUAUCAGGAUCCAUUGAUUUGACAGCUGCCCAAAUUUCCUCUGAUAAUGGAACACUAGUAAGCAUCGUAUUUUCCUCAGGAGUUACCAUAGAGUGAAUCACUUUGGACACCAAGCCACUAUCUUCAUACUCUGCAUGUUUAGUAAAAAGAUUUUUGUAAUAAUCAACUAUAUGAUUUUGGAUAUAAUGAGGAUCCUGAAGCACCUGAUCUCCAUCACGAAGCAGAGUAAUAGAAGAACGAUUUCGGCGCACUUUACACAAAGCAUGAAAAUAAGAAGAAUUACGAUCACCUUCUGAUAACCAUCGCAACCUUGACUUCUCACGCCAAAGAAUUUCCUGAUGCAGAAUAGACUCAUUCAAAAUGGCCUGCAAUUCAGUCUCUUUUUCAAACUCUUCAUCUGAUCCCCCAGAAGCUGCAAUUUUAUUUUGAAUAUCAGCAAGGGCUGCAAGGUCAAACUCAACCCGACGGUGAACAUCCCCAAAGACCUCCCAGUUCCAAGUACGGAGAGAUUUCCUUAAGGUACGCAGCUUAUAUUGCAGGACAGAAUAAGGACAACCAAACGAAGUAGUAGAGGACCAACAUCCUUUGACAAAACUCAUAAAAUCCUUAUGCUCCAACCACAUUUUUCUAAACCGAAAGAGACUAAAACGAGACCCUGUAAACUUAGAAAAGGACAUUAGUAGUGGAUUAUGAUCAGAGCAAGUUCUGGGUAAGGUGCAACAGUCAAACUGAUCCCAUUCCUCCAUCCAAUUCAAAUUAGCAAGACUUCUAUCUAAUCUUAGCUCCACAUUACCACGAAAACCACGCCGUCUCACCCAUGUAAACUCUGCCUCUUUAGUAUCUACAUGAAUAAGUUCACAAACAUCUGACAUUGUCUGAAAUUCCUCACAUGAUCGCCGACAUAGAGGAGCACCUCCUUUCUUUUCAUGAGCACCAAGAACUGCGUUAAAAUCUCCAAAAACCAACCAUGGUCCUGUAACAAAACGACCUUUGAAAUCAGUAAUAUCUUCCCAUAACUUCCGGUGGCCAGAGAUUGUGGUACGAGCGUAGACAGCUGUAAGAAAACAGUUUACCGAAUCAAACAUAACUUGUAAAGAAACCUGCUGAUCCGAGGUAGACAACACCCGAAUCCAUGGAGCCAGAGAAGUCUUACAAAAAACCCAUAGAUUAGGUAAUGCAGAACCCCGGUCAUUUGCACCAACAAAUCGCAUGCCUAACGAACGCCAAAAGAAUAGAGGAAUUGAAGUCAAGGCAACGAAAGGCUCAGCUAUACAUAAAACUUCCAGGUUGUGAACCCGUACAAACUGUUUCAAAGCAUCUUGAGUGGGGACAUUAGCAAUGCCCCGUAUGUUCCAAUAAAGAACCCUCAUUUAGGAGUGUCUUUGGAGCGACGGAGAUAGGCUUCCCUAUUCUCCUUCGAAGCAGCCUUCCUCUUUUGAGACCUGGACAUAACAACAGUAAAACCAUCAUCAAUGUCAACUCGUUCUGUCUCCUCAUACCAGCUAUCAAUUCGAGUUACUGAAUUUGCAGCAACAGCAACCCCAAUGUCAGAAGACUGCUCAUGCAUACUACCACCGGCAGAGUCAUCUUCACUAUUCUGCUCGUUCUGAUCAAUUGCAUACCUAGUAUCAUCUUCUUGCUCAACCACAUUACCAUGGAUAGCUACUGGUACCAAAACCACAUUCACCCCCGGCUCAACCACUUCUUGGACAGGUGCCACCACUUCCACUAGCGGUUCCGGCACAACACUAGAUAUCACUAGUUGGCCGACCGGUGCUGGAGACUUCUGCACAAAGGAAGGACCCUCACCAAAAUCUUCCCUGGGGUUUGGAGUUGAAUCAAUAAUCAUGCUCUUACCUCGAUCUGCUGGAUUAGAUGGGUUUUUAGGCACAUACACUUUGGAGACUCGUUGCUGAUCACGGUUCCUGCGAGAUCGUCUACUACGCUUGCGCGAUCGACCUCUGCCUUUCUCAGUCUCAUUAUCCAUUGGAACCGGGUCAGAAGAUCUAUGCACAUACUUGCAAGCUGUGACAAGGUGCCCAACGUUGCCACAAUGAGCACAAAUAUGUGGAAGCUUCUCAUAAUCCACAGUCUGAACAAAAGACGAACCGCACUUACGCUUGACAACCAAUUCAUGCGGUGGAUCAACAGAGAGAUCAAUAUCAACCAAUAUUCUAGCAAAUAGGGUUCUAGGUUCCCAAAACUCAAGCCCUAGAUCCUAAAACCUCACCCACACCUGAGCAUUAGUAUUACGUUGAUUCGCUGGGGAGAAAUUUGGAACCCAUCGCAUGAAACGCAAGAAGCCAGGCUUGAGAGCAAUUGCACCCUUUACCCAGACUGUAGAGAGAUCCUCAUCCGUAGAGAAGCUAAACGUGAAAUAACCUUUUCCCAUGGGAAUAAUCUUCCAAGCCCCUAGACUUCCCCAAAGAAGAGAAAGCUUAUGAGACAGAUCUGAUGCAGAGUAGGGUUUAUCCCUCAAACCCAAUUGCACCCUUCCGAUUAACAUAUGUUUACAAUUAUCCAAACCCGAUUGAUAGCCCUCUUCUGAAAUAGUAACAGUUGUCUUGCCAUCUAAAAUCUCAGGAAUAGGUAGAUCAUCAAUUGGGAUGAAAGCUUGCGCCGCCGCCGCCGCAUAAGAUUUCGUCGGCUUCGCAGCCCCCUCGUCGAGAAAAGACCACGGGCAGAAGGGACGAUGCUGAACAGCCAUGACGUCGUGAAGCAAACGGAACUCGAAUUCAAGGAUUUACUGCAGGGAGGCUCCAGCACGGGGAAACCCUAGCAGAGCCAUCACCAACAUAAUGUAACUCGAUGCAUCACAUCCAUUAACACACUAUAGUCUUACCUUUUAAGUUGAGUCAAUGCAAGAGUUGCACUAUUUAGACCAUUUGGUUCUUCCGAAAAUAUGUAUUAUAUUUUUGAGAAUUUCAACGUCUGUAGUAGAGUCGACGAGGAUUUUAGAUUUGAUUUCGUCGAUGGCGUUGUCGAGCUAUUGCGUCAAUAGGAUGAUGAAGAGCAACCGGAAUCACCUCUCUUCUGACGCAAUUUGUUUUUCAAAGAUCUGGUCCGUUGCACUGGCCGGUCGAAGCCUUUUCAGUUCUCAAAACAGUUCAGAAACUACAGGUCUGAUAAUGAAAUGCAUAAAACAUUUAUAACUAUUGGUAAUUUAUAUCCUAGAGUUGUUCGAGUGUACUAACCACAGGAAAUAACGAUCUAGCUAGACUACCUUAUUUUCGUUAGGGCUGCUCUAAUUAGUCAACAUAUGCAGCUAGGUGAUGAUAAACUUACCCAAUUCGUUGUGAAAAUAAUUGAACCAUCAGUAGCCGUGAUAGUCCUUACGUACCUGCCCUUUCAUGAGCCUUAAUAUUUGGUGGCUUAUUAGCUACGCACUAAUGGUAGUUAAUUGUGCUUAUUUUGUGCAUGUGUGUUCUAAUACAAUUACCUACCUAGUUCUAAUUGUUCUAAUUCGUCGUGGAAUGUUUUCAGAGGAGAAAACUGAAUGGGGUAGCAUAGAGCCCUAUUACAAAAUAAUGUAUCUAUAACCUUCUCUAAUUUACAUAGUAAUUGACGCAAUUUGGCCGAACUGUUUCUGAACACACUGCUUCAGUUCUUUAUAAACCACGUACCAUAUGUAUGUAUUCAAGUGUCAGAUAUACUGAACCUACAUCGCCAAAAUGGAGAGAAUUCAGGUCAGUAUAAUUUCCAAACACACCGUCAAACCAUCAGCUUCCUCUUCACUACUUCGGGAUUGUCUAUGGUACAGCGCUGUAUGCCAUACAUCCUCUAACAGGACUUGUGUGCACGUGCCUUGCAGUGGGGGUGGGUGUUUUGUUUUGAAAUUUUUAGCCUUGAAAGCAGGCUGCAUAUCAUGCAGGGCUGCAGAUAGAAUUUUCCCUGAAUAUCACGCAUAUCAGCGCUGCAUGAUAUGUAUGAUUGUCUAUGGUACAACGCUGCAUAUCAUGCAGCGCUGCAUUAAAGCAGACUGCAUAUCAUGCAACGCUGCAGGAUAUGCAGCCUGCUUUCAAGGCUAAAAAUUUCAAAAUAAAACACCCCCACCUGCAAGGCACGUGCGACACAAGUCCUGUUAGAGGAUGUAUGGCAUACAACGCUGUACCAUAGACAAUCCCACUACCCUACUUCAGCCUUACAAGCUUACCCUGCUCGACCAGCUCACUCCUCCAUCGUAUGUCCCCAUGGUAUUCUUCUACCCCAUUACUGGCCCUGCAGUCUUCAAUCUUCAAACCCUAGCUGACUUAAGACAUGCCCUUUCCGAGACUCUCACUUUGUACUAUCCACUCUCUGGAAGGGUCAAAAACAACCUAUACAUCGAUGAUUUUGAAGCCGGUAUCCCAUACCUUGAGGCCCGAGUGAAAUGUGACAUGACUCAUUUUCUAAGGCUUCCAAAAAUCGAGUGCCUAAAUGAGUUUGUUCCAAUAAAACCAUAUAGUAUGGAAGCAAUAUCUGAUGAGCUUUACCCCUUGCUUGGAGUUCAAGUCAACAUUUUCGAUUCUGGGAUAGCAAUAGGUGUCUCCGUCUGUCACAAGCUCAUCGAUGGCCGAACGUCAUACUGUUUUCUCAAGUCCUGGGGUGCUGUUUUUCGUGGGUGUCGUGAUGAAAUCAUACAUCCUAAUCUCUCUCAAGCAGCAUUGCUUUUCCCACCGAGAGAUGACCUGCCUGAAAAGUAUAUAGCUUUGAUGGAAGGGUGGUCGAUUGCCGUAAAGAAAGUUGCUACAAGGAGAUUUGUAUUUGGUGCGAAAGCCAUAUCUGCAAUUCAAGAUGAAGCGAAGAGCGAGUCCGUGCCCAAGCCAUCACGAGUUCAGGCCGUCUCUGGUUUUCUCUUGAAACAUCUUCUCUCUGCUUCUCGGGCAUCAUCAUCAGGUAAAUCAGUUUAUGUGUCUUCUUAAAAGUGCACCACAUGCAAUUGCGUGAUUGGCAAAGGAGGGCUAGGCGUGAUUAAUUAAGCUAGAGAAGACAAGGUUUUUCCAUUAAUUGUUAGUGAGGCUUGCUCAAAUGCGAGCGUACAAGAGUUUUCAGUAGCUUUAUUUCUGCUGCUUAGGUUAUACCGGAUUUGUUUUGUAAGUUAGAAAAAUACAACUUAUUGGAUAUUGUUAUAAGCAUCUAAUUAAUGAUAUGAAUGAAAAAGAAAAAAGAUCGUACACUUAACAUUUUUCUGCUAUUAUUUCAUACUUAUUUUAUAUUUUUGUAUUACAUAUACUGUACAUAGCUUAAAAAUGAGAAAAUAUAUGAACUUUUGCAGGUACUACUUCAACAAAACUUUCUAUAGCAGCUCAGGUAGUGAACUUAAGAUCACAGAUGAACAUGGAGACAACGUUGGGUAAUGCCAUUGGAAACCUGAUGUGGUGGGCUCCGGCCAUACUAGAGUUAAAUCAUAAAGCACGAGAGAGCAGCGAUCCUAAGCUGUGUGACUUGGUUAUCUUGCUCAAUGAAUCUGUCAAACAAUCUAACAGUGAUUACUUCGACACUUUCAAGGGUAAAGAGGGAUAUGGAAGAAUGUGUGAGCAUCUAGAUAUGGAGGGGACUGUAAGUUCUGUAGAACCAGCACCAGAGAUAUAUUCAUUCUCGAGCUGGACUAGAUUUUUCGACCAAAUUGAUUUUGGAUGCAUGGGGGAGGUCAUCUUGGAUUGGAGUUACCGGAAAACAAUCUGCAUAUUGGAAUUCCACAGUUUUAGUACCAACACAAUGUGAUACUGGAAUUGAAGCGUGGGUGAAUCUAGAUGAAGAGAAAAUGGCUAUGCUAGAACAAGAUCCCCAGUUUCUAGCAUUAGCAUCUCCAAAGACCCUAAUUUCAAGGUAUUGAUUAUGAAAGAUUAUGUGGCUCGUGCAAUGUUUCCAUUUGCAGUGAAUAAGGAUUAAAUUAGUUCCCCGGCCAAUUAAUAAGAAGCAAGGUAUGAUAGACUAUGGCUACGUAUGUUAGUAUGUUAUCCGAAUGUGCUUCGUUAUGCUUUUAACCAAUAUAGCUCUGUUUUGUAACAAUGCUCUAUUGAGCUUCUAACUAUAGAGUUAUUUUUCUUGAUUAGAAAAAGAAACUAUGCAAGUUUUGUUUUGUUAAGCUAUUCUGUUUCUAAAAGAAAGGCUAUUCUGUUUCUAAAACGGGAUGCAUGUAUUACCUAAAAAGAUGAUUCACCUAUAAUUAUUUUUCAAGUAAAUGAUUAUUUGAUAGCAAUCACGCCGUGUAUUUCUAUAGCUAAAAUUGUAAUUUAGAUCAGUGACAACAUGAUUAAAAGUUACAUAUUCUGAUACAUUUGUUAUUUAACGACAAGUGUGGCCAUAAUGCCUCACCUAGUCACCUAAUGCGAAGACCUCUACGAGAGACUAAUGUCGUCUGAUCUUCUUUUCUUAAUCAAAAGAAACGAAAAUGGCCACAAUGCCUCACUAUUCAUAGAACCAUACAAUAAUUUGGAACAUAUGCAUGGAUGCAAAGAAAAAUAACACAAGAACCAUCAUAAUUUCACAUUAUAUGAGAAACUUAGCCAAAUCCGAAUCACAUCCAUGUUGGCCAAGAGUGACUAAAGAAGACCACCCAGAAAGCUAGAAAACCAUAAAAUCCAGAAAACUUGAAUAAGCUAGGGAAAAAACAAAAAUGUGACAUUCCAUUUCUUCUUGCGGUUUUGUUAGGCCAAAUCAAAAUCUCAAUGACCCUGCAAUCAUUUACACACACUCUUUCUCAAUCUCUGCAAAACUGACUGCUUCCCCUGAAAACUUGCGCAAUAGGGUACCUAGCUCUCUGGCCUUUUCUUUCUAAUGCACAAUUUAUGGCUUUUGGUAAUGAUGAUUUUAUGCUUGUGGAUCUCAGAUGGGUUUGUUUUGUUUUGGGAUUUUUAUAAAUGAAUGCAUUGAAAAUGUUGAAAGCUUAUGCCUUUGUUCCUUGGUUCAGUGUUCUGGUUUUGUGUACGUACGAGAGUUGAAAUGUGAUCUCUAGUAUCGGUAAAGAGAAAUGUUCUAACCAUGCUAGUGUUAGUAAUUUAUCUUCUAAAGUUGUUUGAGUACUUUACUCUCUUACUUUACUAACUAAGCAUAGGAAAUAACGACCUAAACUACCUGAUUUUCGUUAGUGCUUGUAAACACGAAAAUUCCUGUAACGAAUAACAGAAAGACAUGUGUACAAAAUAAUAUAUUUGUAUUGAUUGAAUUUGCGGGUUACAAUCUCUAUGGGUAUUCUUUUAACAAGAAUGUCCUCUGAUUCGAUCUCCGAUGUUGAUUUGAUCCAAGGGUGACAAGCACUUGAUCUUGAAUUGAACUGUUGUAGUUUGAACUUCUUAUUGUGUUGACGAUUUGUAGAAGGAAGUUGACCAAGGGCCAUAGAGGCUUGAUCUUGGUCGAAUAUGGGCCGCGAGAGGUGUCACGUGGUGAACGUUCUUCGACUUGAUAGCGGAUGAAUCGGCACGUGUGUUUGGUACUUGUUGAUUCUCCACGAGGUUGUUGAAGAACUUGGUAGAAGUUUUGAUUUGUUGAAAGACUUGAAGACGAGGGUUGAUCAAGGGCCGUAGAGGCUUGACGUUGAUCGAGUUUGGGCCGAGCAGUUCCACAUGGUGGUUGCUCUUCGUCUUGUAGUUGGUGAAGAUGUCAGCUAUUUGGCAACUUGGGACUCUUCGGGAUUUGACAACCUAUAGGCUUGAGGUUGAUGAAGAAUCAACUAUUUGGCAGCUUGAUGAUUCUUCAAGGGUUUUGGGAGAAUUCUAAACUCUCGGGAGUAAUUUUUCUCUCUUGUCUGAAAGUCGUCCUCUUGAUAUGAGAGGGGGUAUUUAUAGUGUUAAUGCUCCUCCGUAAAUGGAAUGCAUUGAAGUCACAGCUUUAAUUAUAUUUCCUUAAUGAUAUAAUUAAAUCAAUCACUUUUGAUUGAUUGAUUCAAUUAUUCAAUUUCCCAUAAUUAAAUCAAUCAGUCUUAAUUGAUCGAUUUAGUUAUGAUCGAUAAGGUAUUUCACUAAUUUGAUUAAAUUCCGACUUCCUUUUCGAUAAUUGAUUUGAUUUGAUUGAUGUUUGAUUAUCGAUUGACAUUUAAUAUUUUAUUUUAGUUGGGAUUGAUGAUUUUGUUGUCGACCGACCAUUCACACGCCGCCACGUGUUAUUUUCGAAGACUUUUCAACUUUGCUGACUCACGAGCCACGUAUGCACGAGACUUUUCAACGUCUCUAAUUUACAUAGUAAUUGACGCAAUUUGGCCGAACUGUUUCUAAACACACUAAGCUUCAGUUCUAUAUAUACCGCGUACCACAUGUUUCAUCAAGUGUCAGAUAAUACAGAACCUACUUCGCCAAAAUGGAGAAAAUUGAGGUCAGUAUAAUUUCCAAACACACCAUCAAACCAUCAACUUCCUCUUCACCACUUCAGCCUUACAAGCUUACCCUGCUCGACCAGCUCACUCCUCCAUCGUAUGUCCCCAUGGUAUUCUUCUACCCCAUUACUGGCCCUGCAGUCUUCAAUCUUCAAACCCUAGCUGACUUAAGACAUGCCCUUUCCGAGACUCUCACUUUGUACUAUCCACUCUCUGGAAGGGUCAAAAACAACCUAUACAUCGAUGAUUUUGAAGAGGGUGUCCCAUACCUUGAGGCUCGAGUGAACUGUGACAUGAAUGAUUUUCUAAGGCUUCCGAAAAUCGAGUGCCUAAAUGAGUUUGUUCCAAUAAAACCAUUUAGUAUGGAAGCAAUAUCUGAUGAGCGUUACCCUUUGCUCGGAGUUCAAGUUAACAUUUUCAACUCCGGAAUAGCAAUCGGGGUCUCCGUCUCUCACAAGCUCAUCGAUGGAAGAACUUCAGACUGUUUUCUCAAGUCGUGGUGUGCUGUUUUUCGUGGUUCUCGUGACAAAAUCAUACAUCCUAAUCUCUCUCAAGCAGCAUUGCUUUUCCCACCAAGAGAUGACUUGCCUGAAAAGUAUGCCCGUCAGAUGGAAGGGUUAUGGUUUGUCGGAAAAAAAGUUGCUACAAGGAGAUUUGUAUUUGGUGCGAAAGCCAUAUCUGUAAUUCAAGAUGAAGCAAAGAGCGAGUCCGUGCCCAAGCCAUCACGAGUUCAGGCUGUCACUAGUUUUCUCUGGAAACAUCUAAUCGCUACUUCUCGAGCACUAACAUCAGGUAUGUAAAAUCAGUUUAGCAACAAGCCAAAUACUAAAGCAACUAAAUAAAAACCUAUUGUAUUUGGGGUAGUCCCUUAUUAGCUGUUGUCCUAAACUUCUAACGAUAUGAACUUUUUUCUCAAAAGAAAAAAAUAGUACACUUAACAUUUUCUGUUAUAAUUUCAUACUUAUUUAUAUAUUUUUAUUACAUACAUAGCUCAAAGAAUGAGAAAAUAUAUGAACCUGCAGGUACUACUUCAACAAGACUUUCUAUAGCAACCCAGGUAGUGAACAUAAGAUCACGGAGGAACAUGGAGACAGUGUGGGAUAAUGCCAUUGGAAACUUGAUAUGGUUCGCUCCGGCCAUACUAGAGCUAAGUCAUACAACACUAGAGAUCAGUGAUCUUAAGCUGUGUGACUUGGUUAACUUGCUCAAUGGAUCUGUCAAACAAUGUAACGGUGAUUACUUUGAGACUUUCAUGGGUAAAGAGGGAUAUGGAAGCAUGUGCGAGUAUCUAGAUUUUCAGAGGACUAUGAGUUCUAUGGAACCAGCACCAGAGAUUUAUUUAUUCACGAGCUGGACUAAUUUUUUCAACCAACUUGAUUUUGGAUGGGGGAGGACAUCAUGGAUUGGAGUUGCAGGAAAAAUUGAAUCUGCAUUUUGCAAUCUCAUAACAUUAGUUCCAACACCAUGCGAUACUGGAAUUGAAGCGUGGGUGAAUCUAGAAGAAGAAAAAAUGGCUAUGCUAGAACAAGAUCCCCAGUUUCUAGCACUAGCAUCUCCAAAGACGCUAAUUUCAAGAUAUUGAUUAAGGAAGAUUAUGCGGCUCGUGCAAUGUUUCCAUUUUGUUGUGAUUAAGGCUUAAAUUAGUUCACCAGCCAAUCAAUAAGAUGCAAGUAUGAUAGACUCGGUCUACGUAUGUUAUCCGAAUGUGUUUCCACAUGCUUGUAACCAAUAUAGCUCUUGUUUGUAACAAUGCUCUAUUAAGCUCUUCUAUCCAUAAAGUUAUUUCUCUAUUAAAAAGAAAACUAUACAAGUUUUGUUAAGUUUUUAAGGUAAGAUGCAUGUAGUACCCAAAAAGAUGGUUGACCUGUCAUUAUUUUCAAGUACAUGAUUAUCCGAUACAAUUACAUCAAAUAUUUCUAUAGCUAAAAAGUAUGUAAUUUUGAUCCGUGACAACAUGAUUAAAAAGUUAUAUAUUAUGAUGCAUUUAUCCUCUAACGACAAGCAUGGUCAUAAUGUCUCACCUCAUCACCUCACCAAGCGCGGAUCCAGUUCACAAGUGGGUAAGGCUCAAGCCCAACCAAGAAAAUUGGGGGAAAAAAAAACCUAAGUAUAGAUAUAUAUUUUUUUGGGUGAUAUAUCAUAUAUGCCCAGCCAUCAAGUGACCAAGCCCAACCCACCUAACUCAACCCAUCCCACUAACUACCCAAGUCCACAAUCAUCACUCAUCACUCAUCCACCCAACCUCCUUCAUCGAAGGAGUCCUUUAACUAAUCAGCUUAAACACCAAGUCUAAAAGUCUUCCCUGCUCUUCCCCUCCGCCUCCACUCAGUCACUCACCUAUGACCUAUCCCGGCUAUCCGGCUAUCCCUCUUCCCCUCCAGUCCUCCACGGCUCCACCAUAAUCUCCUUCUUCCCGGCCUCCUCCGGUCCUCCGAUUCCUCCCGGAUAGCGACGACUCGCCUCCGGCGGUCCGGACCUCCGCGGCUCCGCCUCCAGUCCUCCACUCACCUAUCCCUCUUCCAGCUGCUAGAAAGCUUGUUCGAGACUUGGUCCUCCACAGACAACCCAUUAGUCCAUUACCCAUCUUUCUUCACUCUCAGCCAGCAUGGUUGUACUAGAAAUUUUUUUUUGGCCUUCGGCCAAAGUUCAAGCCCACCCCAUCUUUAAAUCAUGGAUCCGCCACUGCACCUCACCAUAGUGUCCUAUCCUCUUAGGAGAAGGUAGGCACCUAAUGCAAAGGCCUUUAUGAGAGACUAAUAUCGUCUGAUCUUCUUUUCUUAAUCAAAAGAAAUGAAAAUGGCCACAAUGCCUCACUAUUCAUAGAGCCAUACAAUACUCUGGAACAUAUGCAUGGAGACAAAGAAAAAUAACACAAGAACCAUUAUAAUUUCACUUUAUACGGGAAACUUAGCUAAAUCCGAAUCAUGGGCGGAGCCAACCCAGGUGAAAUUUUGAAGCCCAAAAAAUUACCUGAAACAUCGUCGUUUGGGUGUAGGUUAUUUCUCCGUUUACUUCUUCUCAAUCUUAGUCAUAACUCACACCAUUGCGUCCGUAGCCCGUCGUUGUCGCUAGAGCGGUCGCCAUUUCCCAUAGCCCGCGCCGUCGCCCGUAGACCACAUCCCGAGUCAGUCAGUCCCCACUUGGCUACUUCCCCAGGUAUGGCUCAAUCGGAUUGCUUAUAUUCUGAUCGUGGACAUAGCAGGCUUCAAUUCAAAAGCCAUCAUAUUCAUAUGCUUCAAUGUUGCUUUACUUCGUCUAUAACUAGAGUUUCAGCUUUGCUUCGUCUUCAAUGUUGAUAUGUUGAUAUAAAAUAUUAACUUGAUUAGGAUUUGUUGAUAUAGAAUAUUACCUUGAUUAGGAUUUGUUGUUAUGUAAUAUGUAUUAGGAUAUUUAUUACUCAUAUUAGGAUUUGUUAUAUGAUCUUACAUCCUUACGAAUGAAUAUACAUCAACACAAUCGAAAUCUGCAUGGUCAUAUUAGCCUUAACUAGUUCAGUCCAAUUCAUAUUAGUCUUAAACUAGUUCAGUCUAAUUCCUCAUGGGUAUAUGCUGAACUUUAAGAUGUUGAUCUUCUAUAAUAACUGAGUUCGAUACCAGAAAUCUUUGAUGAUUGUCCACAUAUGUUAUCUUAUAAUCCUAUAUUAAUUUGUACUAAUCUCAUAGUCUUAAUUUGAAAGCUCCUUAUACGUCUUAACUUGGAUAUGGAUGUGGAUUUGAUCUUAUUAUAUGUAAUAUUAAAGUGAAGUUGUUGUAUUACACAGAAUGUUUGAUGAAUAAAUAACAAAUUGAUCGCGUCAAAAGGCUAGAUCAAAAAAUUUCUUGCACCAUCGAACAAAUUUUCUUGUGUAUACAAUUUCAUGGUUCCGCCACAUUGGCAACAAAGAGUGAUUGGAAAAGAAGAACACCCAGAAAGAUAAAAACCAUAAAACUUGUUUAAGCGAAAAAAACAAAAGUAUGCCAUUCAUUUCUUCUUGCGGUUUUGUUAGGCCAAAAAUCAAAAUCCCAUGAUACCCAAUCAGUUACACACUCUCCCUCUCAAUCUCUACAGAACUGACUGCUUCCCCUGAAAACUUGCGCAAUAAGGUACCCAUCUCUCUGGCCUUUUCUUUGUAAUGCAUAUAAGUUCCUGUAAAUUUUAAAGCUUUUGGAAUGAUGAUUUUAUGCUUGUGGAUCUCAAGAUGAGUUUGUUUGUUUUUUUCGGGAUUUUUAUAAUGAAUGCAUUGAAAAUGUUGAAAGCUUAUGCCUUUGUUCCUUGGUUCAGUGUUUUGGUUUUGUAUACGAGAGUUGAAAUGUGAUCUCUAGCUUGACUGUUGGUAUUGGUAAAGAGAAAUGUUCUAGAAAACCAUGCUAGUAUUAGUAAGUUAUCUUCUAAAGUUGUUCGAGUACUGUACUAAGCAUAGGAAAUAACGACCUAAGCUACCUUAUUUUCGUUAGUGCUAGCUGCUAUGAGAAACUUACCCAAUUCGUUGUUAAAAAUAGGGAAAAUACCCAAAUACUCAAAAAUUAGAAAGCUAAAACCCAUUCCAAUGAAAUUAUAAUCCUUUAGCUCAUUCCUAUGUUACACCGAUACUCCACCCCACGGACACUCCAACACUCCCGACACACCGAUAUCGAUACGAUACACCAAAAUGUGUGUCCGACACGCCACGUGGCGUGUCAAAAAAAGUUGACUUUUUAGACACGUUACGUCAGCCUGAGACACGCCAAGUCAGUGUGUAUUGAUUGAAAAAAAAAAAUACAGAACUAAAAGUCUAAAACCUAAUCGAAGAGGAAGCCCACUUUAAAGAAGCCGCAUAGAAGAGGAACGAUGUCACCGUUCACUAUCACUGCGAGAACGACGUCGUCUGUCCAUGUCAGUGUGAUUGUUCCUCCGAUGACACCACUCUGCGAGAACGACGAGAACAGCGUCGCCUUUCUCUGUUACAGCGACUCGUCCUCCGUCGGCCUAAACCCUCUCUUUAGUGUAAGGUUAAUCUUAAUCUCAGCUUUGACGUGUUUGGUGAUUGCAGUCUCAUUUGCAGUAACAGAAAAGCAUAUAAGAUUUUAAUCAUUUUAUGAUCAUUCUGAUACCACUUAUAGAUUUUUAAGGCAAUGUGCUAUUGAAGCAUCUGCACUGUGAUGUUAAGUGUCAUGAUAUUGCUCAAUUGCUGAUAGGGUAGGAUGGAGCUAGACAUUUGAGACUUUGCAAAAUUGAGUUUAUACCUACUAGUAUUAGAUCAUCAAUUAGUUGAGAGUUUGUAGGAGGUCAGGUUUUAUACUUGGUGAGAAACAUCGGCUCAUCUGUAUUUGUAAGGAAGAUUUAAUUGAAAGGAGUUGUGUAUGGAUUGCUUAUUUGUUUAUCUUUGCUCUGUUAAUUGUUAAUAUGUUAUGAUAUGCUGCUGUGUCUAUGCUGAUGUGCUUAUGCUACUGUGUGUCUAUGCUACUGUGUCUAUGCUAUUGUCUUAUGUUGUUUUGUUGGAUUAUUAUGAUUAGGAUGAGUUCAAGUGCGACAUCUACUGAACCUAGUGUUGAAUCAACUAAGCCUGAAAAAUUAGAUGCUCCUCUAUCAAGGAUAAAGGAUGAUGCCAAUGCAUGCGUGCCUUGCUCUUAUGUAUUUUGAAUAUCUCAGUUAUGGGGUUUUAGGCAGUUGGUGUUAUUAUAGGGUUAGGAAAGUCGGAUUUUCAUUCAGUUUGAUGAAUGUGUUGAAUUAGAUAAAACUAUUUAGUAAUCAUCCUUUAGAUUAAAUAUUGACUCUCUUUUAUGUUAUUUGUUACAGUUAUGCAAUUGCUUAAAUUUAGAGCAUUAUUUAAGCAAUGUGAUAAAUUUAUUCAUAUUUGAGCAUUUUUUUAUUAAUUAGAAAUAUACAAAUAAGUAAUUAUAUUUGCCGUGUCUAAGCCGUGUCGAAAAUGUAGUCUUUGAGUUUUGCCGUGUCGCCGUGUCAGUACGUAUCGUGUCGCCGUAUCCGUGUCCGUGUCCAUGUAACAUAGGCUCAUUCCAAUGAUUCUUAUGCAAAAGACAUUAUUANNNNNNNNNNNNNNNNNNNNCUCUCUCUCUCUCUCUCUCUCUCUCUCUCUCUCCUCUCUCUCUCUCUCUCUCUCUCUCUCUCUCUCUCUCUCUCUCUCUCUCGGUGUACGACGAUGCAAGGUUGAAGACGCAGCCUCCUACUGAGUCGACGAGACCGCGCUCGUGGUCGUGAUUCUCCUCAACAGCGACAUCGAUUUUGGCGGCACCUCUCGGAGAUGAUCCUCAUCUGCCAGAACCUCUGCAACAAUCUCUAGAGCCCUAACGAGCACAUCCGGGGCGUCACGCUCCAGUUCCUCUACUGGUUGAGCAAGUUGGAGAUUGUCCGGCCGUUGAUUUCAUCGAUUUUGGCCAAUCUAGUCAGAGAUUGAGGUCUGUGUUUAGUGCAAACAUGGAUAACGUUCUUCUUCUCCUUUUUUUAUCGGAGAUCGUGUUUUUGUUUUUGUUUUGGUCAGAGAGAUUGUGGUUUUUUCCCCUUUUUUUUUCAAUAUAAUGGUUAUUAAAUGAUAGUAUCUUGAUUAUUGGAGUAAUUAGUCUAUUAUUGGGAGGUAAGAAGUAUCUAGUGGAGGUCAAUAAACAUUUAUUGACCCCAAUAUUGCUUUUAUAAAUUUUUUUUGAGAUGUAGGGAUUUGCCUUAGAGGUAAAAACUUCCUUUUUAACUCGAUUACUAGGAAUCAUUAACUGAUUAUUGAGGUUAAGUAACUGAUUAUUGAGGGUCAGUAAGUGAUUAUUGGGGUUCAGUAACUGAUUAUUGGGGGUUAAUAACUGAUUAUUGGGGGUCAUUUUGAGAGUCAGUAACCGAGUUAUUGGUGAUCAGAAUCCAGCAACCGGAAAAAAUCUGAGUUACUGGGGGUCAGUAACUAAGUUACCGGUUAUCGGAAUCAGGCGACCGGAGAAAAUAUGAGUUACUAGGAGUCAAUAACGGCGACCGAAGAAAUUUCUGGCAACCGGGGACCGGAAUCCGGCGACCGGCAACCAGAGUCCGGCGGCGGGUGACCGGAGUCCGGUGAGAUUCCGGCCAAGUAUUCUCUCUCUUCCACUUUCUCUCUCUAUACAUGUUGAAGUGGUGAGAGUAAAAUUGUCUUAAAAAUAUAUAAAAAUUAUUUUUUAUUAUAACAUUAGUAAAGAUUUGUGCAUAAAAAAUGUUACCUUAUAUUGGAAUGAGCUCAUGAAAAAGAUUAACAUUAAAAUGGGGAAUAAGAGGUUUAAAUUAGUAUUAAAUUGACAUUUUCCCUUUAAAAUAAUAACAGAACCAUCAAUGCCGUGAUAGUCCCUUAAUAUUUGGUGGCUAAUUAGUAAUGCAUUCAUGGUAGUUGUGCUUAUUUUGUGCAUGUAUUCUAAUUCUAUCACUUGCAAAAUCGUUGUGGAAGGUUAAGAGGAGAAAACAGAAAAUGGGGCAGCAUGCAUCUCAUUUUAUUUCCGAUCAUAUUUUCAUAUCAUAGACGUUCACUAUUUAGAUAUACAUGAGUUGAUCAUCUCUACAAAAUUUCAACUAAUUUAGUUAUCAUUAAGGUAUCGAAAAUGUAUUAAAUCAAUGAACGAACCGAAUCUGUUCAUCCUGAACUGUACGUUCUAUUAGUUCUAAAUCACAGUUUUGAAUGUCUUAAUGAUUAUCAACUUGGCUGAAAAUUUAUAUAGAUGAUCUACUGAUAUAUAUACCUAAAAUAUGAACGGUUGAGAUGAGAAAAUAUGAUCGAAAGUGGGACAAAUAAUGAAAUCCGUACCUUAGAUAAGGUAAGGAGGUCCUUACCUGAUCAAGAUUGUGUGUGUGUGUCUAUAGAGUUUAGGGUUUAGAGUUUUAGGGUGUCAUGAAGAUAUCAUACAUCCUAAUCUCUCUGAAGCAGCAUUGCUUUUCCCACCGAGAGAUGACUUGCCUGAAAAGUAUGCCGGUCAGAUGGAAGGGUUAUGGUUUGCCGGAAAGAAUGUUGCUACAAGGAGAUUUGUAUUUGGUGCGAAAGCCAUAUCUUCAAUUCAAGAUGAAGCGAAGAGCGAGU